GACGAACGCUGGCGGCGUGCUUAACACAUGCAAGUCGAACGGAAAGGCCCUGCUUUUGUGGGGUGCUCGAGUGGCGAAAGGGUGAGUAACACGUGCGUAACCUGCCCUUGACUUUGGGAUAACUUCAGGAAACUGGGGCUAAUACCUGAUAGGAGCUCCUGCUGCAUGGGGGGGGUUGGAAAGUUUCGGCGGUUGGGGAUGGACUCGCGGCUUAUCAGCUUGUUGGUGGGGUAGUGGCUUACCAAGGCUUUGACGGGUAGCCGGCCUGAGAGGGUGACCGGCCACAUUGGGACUGAGAUACGGCCCAGACUCCUACGGGAGGCAGCAGUGGGGAAUAUUGCACAAUGGGCGGAAGCCUGAUGCAGCAACGCCGCGUGCGGGAUGACGGCCUUCGGGUUGUAAACCGCUUUCGGCUGUGACGAAGCGUGAGUGACGGUAAUGGGUAAAGAAGCACCGGCUAACUACGUG
Molecule: ribosomal RNA, 468 nt
Filed under: uncultured bacterium
Lineage: Bacteria
Description: partial 16S ribosomal RNA
Rfam family: Bacterial small subunit ribosomal RNA
Source: RNAcentral